Molecule: ribosomal RNA, 465 nt
Filed under: uncultured Aggregatibacter sp.
Lineage: Bacteria; Pseudomonadati; Pseudomonadota; Gammaproteobacteria; Pasteurellales; Pasteurellaceae
Description: bacterial SSU rRNA
Rfam family: Bacterial small subunit ribosomal RNA
Source: RNAcentral
CCUACGGGAGGCUGCAGUGGGGAAUAUUGCGCAAUGGGGGCAACCCUGACGCAGCCAUGCCGCGUGAAUGAAGAAGGCCUUCGGGUUGUAAAGUUCUUUCGGUGAUGAGGAAGGUUGGUGUGUUAAUAGCAUGCCAAAUUGACGUUAAAUACAGAAGAAGCACCGGCUAACUCCGUGCCAGCAGCAGCGGUAAUACGGGGGGUGCGAGCGUUAAUCGGAAUAACUGGGCGUAAAGGGCACGUAGGCGGACCUUUAAGUGAGGUGUGAAAUCCCCGGGCUUAACCUGGGAAUUGCAUUUCAUACUGGGGGUCUGGAGUACUUUAGGGAGGGGUAGAAUUCCACGUGUAGCGGUGAAAUGCGUAGAGAUGUGGAGGAAUACCGAAGGCGAAGGCAGCCCCUUGGGGAUGUACUGACGCUGAUGUGCGAAAGCGUGGGGAGCAAACAGGAUUAGAUACCCGAGUAGUC